GACGAACGCUGGCGGCGUGCUUAACACAUGCAAGUCGAACGGUGAAGGGGCCUGCUUUUGUGGGUCCUGGAUGAGUGGCGAACGGGUGAGUAACACGUGAGUAACCUGCCCCCUUNUUNUGGAUAACCGCAUGAAAGUGUGGCUAAUACGGGAUAUUCUGGGUCUGUCGCAUGGUGGGCCCGGGAAAGAUUGCGCCCUUUGGGUGUUUUUGGUGGGGGAUGGGCUCGCGGCCUAUCAGCUUGUUGGUGGGGUGAUGGCCUACCAAGGCGGUGACGGGUAGCCGGCCUGAGAGGGUGGACGGUCACACUGGGACUGAGACACGGCCCAGACUCCUAUGGGAGGCAGCAGUGGGGAAUAUUGCACAAUGGGCGCAAGCCUGAUGCAGCGACGCCGCGUGAGGGAUGGAGGCCUUCGGGUUGUGAACCCCUUUCGCCAGUGAAGCAGGCCUGCUCCUGUGUGGGUGGGUUGACGGUAGCUGGAUAAGAAGCGCCGGCUAACUACGUGCCAGCAGCCGCGGUAAUACGUAGGGCGCGAGCGUUGUCCGGAAUUAUUGGGCGUAAAGAGCUCGUAGGCGGCUGGUCGCGUCUGUCGUGAAAUCCUCUGGCUUAACUGGGGGCUUGCGGUGGGUACGGGCCGGCUUGAGUGCGGUAGGGGAGGCUGGAACUCCUGGUGUAGCGGUGGAAUGCGCAGAUAUCAGGAAGAACACCGGUGGCGAAGGCGGGUCUCUGGGCCGUUACUGACGCUGAGGAGCGAAAGCGUGGGGAGCGAACAGGAUUAGAUACCCUGGUAGUCCACGCCGUAAACGUUGGGCACUAGGUGUGGGGGGCCUUUUCCGGGUUUUCCGCGCCGUAGCUAACGCAUUAAGUGCCCCGCCUGGGGAGUACGGCCGCAAGGCUAAAACUCAAAGGAAUUGACGGGGGCCCGCACAAGCGGCGGAGCAUGCGGAUUAAUUCGAUGCAACGCGAAGAACCUUACCAAGGCUUGACAUGUGCCGGAUGGCUCCGGAGACGGGGUUUCCUCUCUUUUUUGGGGGGCUGGUUCACAGGUGGUGCAUGGUUGUCGUCAGCUCGUGUCGUGAGAUGUUGGGUUAAGUCCCGCAACGAGCGCAACCCUUGUCUCGUGUUGCCAGCACGUUGUGGUGGGGACUCGCGGGAGACUGCCGGGGUCAACUCGGAGGAAGGUGGGGAUGACGUCAAAUCAUCAUGCCCCUUAUGUCUUGGACUUCACGCAUGCUACAAUGGCCGGUACAGAGGGCUGCGAUACCGUGAGGUGGAGCGAAUCCCUUAAAGCCGGUCUCAGUUCGGAUCGGUGUCUGCAACUCGACACCGUGAAGUUGGAGUCGCUAGUAAUCGUAGAUCAGCAACGCUGCGGUGAAUACGUUCUCGGGCCUUGUACACACCGCCCGUCACGUCAUGAAAGUCGGCAACACCCGAAGCCCGUGGCCCUAUGGGGAGCGGUCGAAGGUGGGGCUGGUGAUUGGGACGAAGUCGUAACAAGGUAGCCGUACCGGAAGG
RNAcentral lists this ribosomal RNA (1514 nucleotides) under uncultured bacterium. RNAcentral describes it as "bacterial SSU rRNA". It matches the Rfam family "Bacterial small subunit ribosomal RNA". The record is from RNAcentral.